GGAGGCGUGUGGGUGCCUGGUGGCCCUCCCGGUCUUCAAAACCGAGGUGUCCGACGCUCUCGGACAGGCGGGUUCGAUUCCCGUCCGCCUCCGCC
This 95-nucleotide transfer RNA is filed under the name Streptomyces cacaoi. Its description in RNAcentral is "tRNA-Sec". It matches the Rfam family "Selenocysteine transfer RNA". Lineage: Bacteria; Bacillati; Actinomycetota; Actinomycetes; Kitasatosporales; Streptomycetaceae. The record is from RNAcentral.